RNAcentral lists this transfer RNA (72 nucleotides) under bacterium. Its description in RNAcentral is "tRNA-Arg". It matches the Rfam family "tRNA". Rfam says of the family: Transfer RNA (tRNA) molecules are approximately 80 nucleotides in length. Their secondary structure includes four short double-helical elements and three loops (D, anti-codon, and T loops). The record is from RNAcentral.
GCCCCUGUAGUUUAACGGAUAGAACAAGGGACUCCUAAGCCCUAGAUAGAAGUUCGACUCUUCUCGGGGGCA